UUAAAAGACAACCACAUUGAAACUACAACAUAGAAGAUAAUACAACUAGACAUUACCGUGUUGGAGAGAGAGAGAGUUGACUGAGCCAAAUCCGAGCCGCCGGUCACUGAAAUCUAAUAAGCUUGGAAAGAGAGAGCAGUUAUCGGUGUGCGCAGCUGAGAUCAUUGGCUUUGAACAUGGGUUGGACAGGACGUUCCUCGCUGAGAUGAGUGGGUCGUCGUGUCCAGAGCCGUGGAGGCUCAUAAAUCUGGCGAGAAAAGAACAAGAAAGGUCGGUGUGGAGGCUCAUAAAUCUGAGUGGGUCGUCGUGUCCAGAUCCCGUCAUAGCCGAUCUUCCCCGUAAGGAGAAAAGUCAUCAUCGAAGACGAAGAAGAAAACGCAAGUUGAGGAAGCUUCAGAUUUGGCAAAUUUAAGAGCUGAGAACAUCGCACCAAAGGAAGAGAAAUACAGGUCUCCAGAAACAGAUUUGAAGUCAGCCCAGUCAUAAAAGAUGGAGAAGGUGGAGGGUCAGGCGGUUCUGGUGGUUGAGAAAAUCCGGGCAACUACAGAGGAAGCGGCUUCGAAGUUGAACUCUUCGUCUUCGGACUUAAACCAGAGGUAGCAACAUUGGAAGCACAAUUUCUCAUCAGAGAGACAGAUCUUUCAAAUGGAAAGGGUAUAUCCGGAUGAGAAAUGUAAUCUUCUAGGUUGCAGAAGGUCUUCACCUAUUGGUGAGACGAUUCUUCGGGAAACUCAACAUUUUGGCUUUCUCUUAUGAUUUAGUUUUAAAUAUAUUAGUUUCUCUUUAGUUUUAGAUCAUAAUUACAACUAAUGGAACAUUAGGAAUCUGUUUGUUCUAGGACUAAUUUGAUAGAAGUUCAUACUCGUGCUGGCCAAGAGAGAAAGUUGAUAAGUUGGAAUAAAGAUAUUUUGCUAAGGCUAAACCACUUAAUCUCCCAAACGAGUCUCAAUUAUGGGUUGUGAUUGUUGAGUGUGCGGUUAGCUUUAGCAAAAAAGAGAGUAUUGAUUGAUGCAUGGCUAGGUUGCAUGUUUAGUAAUGUGAUGAUCGUAAUUGAUAUGCUUGUGAAAUAUAUUGGUUUAUCUCGUUAGGAUCUCGGCUUAGGGGGUAUAACCUGUUUGUGGUAUAUUGAUGUUGUGAUGCAUAUAAUUGAUUGGUUGUUAUAUAAUUUGAGUUUACACUAGGAUAGUAUACUAUGAUUGAGCACGAUGCAACAGGAAAAUUGUUAAGCAACAUACUUUUAGGAGUGAUCUGUGAGGGUCUGACGCUAAGGUAGAGUGUUGUGAGAGCCAUUGGCGUCCGCUCGAGAACCGUGCCUUUUCUGGGGCUGUACCAUAACUGGUUCUGCGUAGGAGGCGAAGGCACAUGUGAUAGGGGUAGUUACCCUCGACCGUGUGGCUGCAUGAAAAUGCAGCAAUAUUAUGUAUUGGUGGUUAGAUUUGCUAACUUUAUGUGUAAUGUUGAGGUGUGUAAUGCGGAAUGGACUUCAUAUCAAGUUGCAGAAAUAGCAAGAUGGAGCCUCGAAGAUCGAUGAUGAUCUAGCCAUUCGUGAAGAGUGAAUGUUUCGGUUACUUGACUGCCUUAUUUUUUCUUUGCUUAAUGUUUAUAUCCUUCAUUGAUGCAUAUUGCCGAGGGGGGAGAUGAUUUAAUUUUUAGGGAAACCGAUUCCCUAGGUAAAUUAGUUGCUCAUUAAACUCUUUGUUUGUAUGAAACCAUAGGGGUAUCUUCGGUUGCGAAGGAGAUGAGCUGCUGGCAUAGUGUUUAUACCUUUUACAAAUUAUCAUGUAUUGUAAUAUAUAGUAAGUUUUAAAGUGGUGCACCUUAUAUAUGCUUGAUGUUGUUUGAACCUUCAUAUUAUUUAAAUAAGAAAGUUAUGUGAAAACGCUUAGGUUCUAUAUGAUAUUAGUCAUAGUCUGGGAAGAACCAGUUAACGGUUUCAAACUCAGGUUGCAAAGAAUUAAAAUAGAACCAAUAAAGAACCCGUUCUCAGACAUUUUACCUUGGGAUUUUGGAUUUGUUCUGGGAACCUCGGGUUGGGAAGGACGGGAAGAGCACACAGCAGCGAGGACGAGGAUGAGAUGGGUGAGGAUGCGGAGGAGAUGGGCGAGGACGUCGUGGGCGAGGAGGAACAGCUAGGAAAAACGGGCGAGGACAAAUGGGCGAGCACUUUGGUCCGGGUGACAGGUCCAUUAUCGUCUUCUGUUAAUCGUUUUGUGUAAUGUCGUUCAGUUUUCCGAAGGUUAUUUAGUAAACAUCAAGUUUAGCUUGAUUUAACAAAAUUUAUCUUCGGCAAAGAUUGUUUCGAAGUUUGUUAUUCGAAACUUAUAUCAUAAAUUUUAUUAGGUUUAUUUUAUGAAAAUGUUUGGUUAAAAUUUGUCAAAAUUAGUUUUACCAAAGUUUAUUUCGUAAAACUAUUUAUUUAUUUUUUCUUAUGAAUGAGUUCCUUAUAACUUUUUCGAUGAUAAUUUAGCAGAAAUUUAUUUUGUAAAACUGUUUAUUUUCGUUUUAUGAAACAUUUUCUGUAAAAUUUUAUCGAUGUUAGUUUUACAAAAAUUUAUUUCGUAAAAAUAUUUUAUUUUCAUUUUACAAAAGAUAUUGGAAAACUUUUUCGAAAUUAAUUUUUUUUUUUUUUUUACGAAAGAUCAUAAAAUUUUAUUGGAAAAUAAGGACGUUCUUAUUAUAUCCUUUCAAUGGAAUGGUUUUCUCGAAUAAUUUCUUGUUCUUCACAUCGAAAUUGUUUCGCUACAUUUUUGGGGAAUUAUACAAAGUCUAUUCUAAUGUAUCGUCAUUUUGAUCGAAAUAGCGUAUGCGGAAUUAUUCUAUCGACAUUUCGGUUACGUGGAUGAUACUUUAUUUUACGUUUAUGUGCUUUAUAUGUUGUUGAUAUCACUAGGACCGAUUUAAAUCCAUCAAUAGUUUUUAAUAUUUUUAUUUUUUAGUUUUGGAGAUGAAUGCACAUUAUGGUUUUUCCCGUUGCAGGAUUUCUUUCAGUUCUUUGGUUCACUCAAAAAAUUUUGGCCGAACAAACCGAAUAUGUAAGAGACUACUGCAUCUCUUUCAGUUCUCCCCACUGCAGGAUUGAUGAGGAU
RNAcentral lists this long non-coding RNA (3086 nucleotides) under Brassica rapa (field mustard). RNAcentral's name for it is "long non-coding RNA (BRAP_LNC001953)". Lineage: Eukaryota; Viridiplantae; Streptophyta; Magnoliopsida; Brassicales; Brassicaceae. The record is from RNAcentral.